GUGGUGGUGACGGAUAACGGAGGAUCAGGGUUCGACUCCGGAGAAGGGGCCUGAGAAAUGGCCACUACGUCUAAGGAUGGCAGCAGGCGCGCAAAUUACCCACUCUCGGCUCGAGGAGGUAGUGACGAGAAAUAACGAGACUGUUCUCUUUGAGGCCGGUCAUCGGAAUGGGUACAAUUUAAACCCUUUAACGAGUAUCAAGCAGAGGGCAAGUCUGGUGCCAGCAGCCGCGGUAAUUCCAGCUCUGCUAAUACAUAGAAUUAUUGCUGCGGUUAAAAAGCUCGUAGUUGGAUUCGUAUCGGUACCUUGGAACCCUUCGGGUGUUUCUGGGUGUUAUCGAUUUAUCGUAAUGUUCGGUUUUGAGUCCUUAACAGGAUUUUUAACAGUCAUUGCAAGUUUACUUUGAACAAAUCAGAGUGCUUCAAACAGGCGUUUUCGCUUGAAUGAUCGUGCAUGGAAUAAUAGAAAACGAUUUCGGUUCAGUUUUAUUGGUUUUACGGACUGAGAUAAUGGUUAACAGAGACAAACGGGGGCAUUUGUAUGGCCCCGUGAGAGGUGAAAUUCUUGGACCGUGGCCAGACAAACUACAGCGAAAGCAUUUGCCAAGAAUGUCUUCAUUAAUCAAGAACGAAAGUCAGAGGUUCGAAGGCGAUCAGAUACCGCCCUAGUUCUGACCGUAAACGAUGCCAACUAGCGAUCCGCCGAUGGAAAUUAUAUUGCCUUGGUGGGGAGCUUCCCGGAAACGAAAGUCUUCCGGUUCCGGGGGAAGUAUGGUUGCAAAGCUGAAACUUAAAGGAAUUGACGGAAGGGCACCACCAGGAGUGGAGCCUGCGGCUUAAUUUGACUCAACACGGGGAAACUCACCCGGCCCGGACACUGUGAGGAUUGACAGAUUGAUAGCUUUUUCAUGAUUCAGUGGAUGGUGGUGCAUGGCCGUUCUUAGUUCGUGGAGUGAUUUGUCUGGUUUAUUCCGAUAACGAGCGAGACUCUAACCUACUAAAUAGCUGGUACAUACUCUUAGUGUAUACAGCUUCUUAGAGGGAUUUGCGGUGUUCAGCCGAAAGAAAUUGAGCAAUAACAGGUCUGUGAUGCCCUUAGAUGUCCGGGGCUGCACGCGCGCUACACUGGCAAAAUCAACGUGCUUGUCCUACCCCGAAAGGGGCGGGUAAACCAUUGAAAAUUUGCCGUGAU
This 1191-nucleotide ribosomal RNA is filed under the name Meloidogyne enterolobii. Its description in RNAcentral is "SSU rRNA". It matches the Rfam family "Eukaryotic small subunit ribosomal RNA", at positions 346 to 1571 of the family's 1831-position model. The record is from RNAcentral. Lineage: Eukaryota; Metazoa; Nematoda; Chromadorea; Rhabditida; Meloidogynidae.